Molecule: ribosomal RNA, 654 nt
Filed under: uncultured bacterium
Lineage: Bacteria
Description: bacterial SSU rRNA
Rfam family: Bacterial small subunit ribosomal RNA
Source: RNAcentral
AAAAGGCGGCGUAAGCUGUCGCUAAAGGAUGGACCCGCGGUGCAUUAGCUAGUUGGUAAGGUAACGGCUUACCAAGGCGACGAUGCAUAGCCGAGUUGAGAGACUGAUCGGCCACAUUGGGACUGAGACACGGCCCAAACUCCUACGGGAGGCAGCAGUAGGGAAUCUUCCACAAUGGGCGAAAGCCUGAUGGAGCAACGCCGCGUGAGUGAAGAAGGUUUUCGGAUCGUAAAGCUCUGUUGUUGGUGAAGAAGGAUAGAGGUAGUAACUGGCCCCUAUUUGACGGUAAUCAACCAGAAAGUCACGGCUAACUACGUGCCAGCAGCCGCGGUAAUACGUAGGUGGCAAGCGUUGUCCGGAUUUAUUGGGCGUAAAGCGAGCGCAGGCGGAAAGAUAAGUCUGAUGUGAAAGCCCCCGGCUUAACCGAGGAAUUGCAUCGGAAACUGUGUUUCUUGAGUGCAGAAGAGGAGAGUGGAACUCCAUGUGUAGCGGUGGAAUGCGUAGAUAUAUGGAAGAACACCAGUGGCGAAGGCGGCUCUCUGGUCUGUAACUGACGCUGAGGCUCGAAAGCAUGGGUAGCGAACAGGAUUAGAUGCCCUGGUAGUCCAUGCCGUAAACGAUGAGUGCUAAGUGUUGGGAGGUUUCCGCCUCUCA